UUUGGAGAUGGUUUUACCGCUGAUUAAGCAAGAAAAAUUGGUUUAUGUUGAAGAUAUUGUUGAAGGAAUUGAAGCUGCACCAGCUGCUGUAGUUGGCCUCUUUUCCGGCCGAAAUGUAGGGAAGCAGGUUGUGCUUGUGGCGCCUACCUGAUCAACAUUAUUUAAUUUAGGGGUAAUUGUGUCUAAUUAGCAACUUUCACAAUUUGUUUGCAUGAACUAAAAACUUCGCUUCAAAUGCACAAAUAAUUUCAUUGCUCUAAUUUUUCACAUUGUCAAUUUCAAGGAAUCGACUAAUUCAAGUGACAUGGCUAAUAUAAUUGUGACUAGUGAAAAUGAUGAGUACAUCUAAUUUUAUAUUUUAUUAUAUCAGCCAUGUAGAUAUUUCAAACGUCAAUUGACAAUCGUAUGAAAAAUCGGAACAAUUUUGAGAUUUAAAAAAAAAAAUUAUAAAAGGUAUCUAUUAUAUAAUCAAAUAGUCAAAUAAGUCAUCCGUGACAUUUACACCAUACAANAAAGUAAUAUUGGAUGAGGGGGUAAAUGAGUUGGAGUGUCUGAUGGGGUUCGAUAGUACAUGGCAUGAAUUAAAAUGUAUGGGUAGAAUGAAGAAUCUCCGACGUUUUAAUGCACGCAUACACGACAAUGAAAGCUUGUCAGCUAUCAUGAAUGCCAUUGCUACCAACUGGAACAAGUUGGUGUUUUGUGUGGUUUAUAUCGAAGAGGGUUGCGAGUUAACAACAAGUGAGCAAGUGUUGAAGAAGGCAUUGACAUGUCCCAAUCUUCAUUUCUUGUCAAUUAAAGUUAAGUUAGGGAAGGCGCUGGCUGAGUGCGGGCGUGAUUUCAUGAGCUCAAAACUUACGAAGUUGUACUUAUUAGCAUGUGAGAUUGAGGAUGAUCCAAUGGGGAUACUGGGAAAGCUUCCUUGUUUGACACAAUUGUGUUUAUUCCCGAAAUCAUUUGUUGGGGAGGAGAUGACGUGUCCAUCAAAUAGUUUUCCUCGCCUCAAGAAGCUUUUUCUAUGUCAGUUACCAAAGUUAAGGAAGUGGAGAGUGGAGGCAGGAGCCAUGCCCCUUCUCUCUCAAUUACUGAUCCAUUAUUGUUCUAGUCUGCAGAAGCUUCCAAGUGGAUUGAGUUUCAUUUCUACUCUUCAGAAACUCACAAUUAAUGGAAUGCCGGAAUUGGGAAAGAGGGUAUCACCAUCAGGAGAGGAUUUCCACAAAGUUCGCCAUGUCCCUUCAAUUAUCAUAUAAAACUAAGGUAUCUCAUUUCUCGUAUUUUCAAUUAUAGUUUUUAUAGUACUAAAUUUUCCCAUGCAACAUCAUAUUUUAAUACAUAGGCGAAUUAAGCAAAUUGUUAAGUUAAUUAUAUCAUAUUUCGCAUUGCUAAUUGAUAAAGAGUGAUAAAAGUCUGGGUUGAGGAAUCAGAACAAUCAAAUUUAAUCAAGUGAUCUAAGCAUUCUUUUGAUGCAGCAAUAUACUUUUUAUAUAUCUAUAUAAUCAUAGUACUAUUUUGUUAAAGGUGGAUCUUUCAAAGAGGAAAUUUGGGUUUGACGAUGCGUUCAACUACAAAGAAGAAGCUGAUUUAAAUGCAGCCCUAAAGAGGCAAAUGCAUGUUGUGGACCUUGUGGUUAGAAGUGUUCAUCCAGAAUCGAAACCGUCGAAUCGGCCCGAACCGGAACCGUAGUCAUCGUCUUCGACUACUACCACCUCUAUCCCAAGUAUUUGGAGAUGGUUUUACAGCUGAUUAAGCAAGAAAAAUUGGCUUAUGUUGAAGAUAUUGUUGAAGGAAUUGAAGCUGCACCAGCUGCUUUAGUUGGCCUCUUUUCCGGCCGAAAUGUAGGGAAGCAAGUUGUGCUUGUGGCGCCUACCUGAUCAACAUUUAUUUUAAUUUAGGGGUAAUUGUGUCUAAUUAUGCAAACUUUCACCGAAUAUUUGUUUUGCGUAUGAACUAAAAACUUCGCCUUCAAAUGCACAAAUUUUCAAUUUCUCUAAUUUUUCAUACUAUUGUCAAUUUUCAAGGAAUUGUGACUAGCUCAAGUGACAAACUAAUAUCAUUGUGACUAA
This 2060-nucleotide long non-coding RNA is filed under the name Salvia miltiorrhiza (redroot sage). RNAcentral describes it as "long non-coding RNA (SMIL_LNC008153)". Lineage: Eukaryota; Viridiplantae; Streptophyta; Magnoliopsida; Lamiales; Lamiaceae. The record is from RNAcentral.